CUGUAACAGUCUGCUACUUUGAUACAGAGAGAAGAGAGAGUGUAUGUGUGAGUAUUCUGUAUCUGGGUCUUUAUUGCCAGAGCCUAAAAGGGUGAUAUCUUUAUAGGCAUUGAGUUUUUAAAGCCUGAGCUUUGAUGGGUUUCUUCUGUUUUAAUCCUUGGUACUCUGUGAAGGAUGUCAUGGCUAUGAUAGCUGUGCUAUGCUAUUACCUUUUGCUUCUUUUCUUGGGUUUGAAUUUCUCCCUUGUUACUGGGAGUUAUUACAUCAAGUGGGGGAAAGAAUGUUAAAUGCUAAAGUUGGUGGUGGUUGAAUAGAAGAAGUGUAGGUGGUGAAAGUAUUUGGCCAUGGCGUCAACUUCUUGUGCCAAACAGAGUCCACUGCCUAUGAAGGAACCACGCUCUACUUAUCAUUCAUAUCCAACUCCUCGAUAUGAGGAUAUUGUGGCUAGCCCGAAGCUCUUCAUGUCUACUCUUGAGAAGCUUCAUGCUACUAUGGGAACCAAAUUUAUGAUCCCCAUUAUUGGAGGAAAGGAGUUAGAUUUGCAUCGGCUCUUUGUGGAGGUUACUUCUCGUGGUGGUAUUGAGAAGGUAAGUUAAAGCUUUUAUUUUGUUUUAUUGUUCUUAUGCAAUCUGUUGUCUGAUGUUUGUUCUUUGUUAAUUUUGUUGUACACCUUGCUUUGGUUAAUGAAUUGUCCUGAUUCAAAAGACAUGGUCUUUUUU
This is a long non-coding RNA of Pistacia vera, 719 nucleotides long. RefSeq lists it as uncharacterized. The transcript has 3 exons. NCBI's taxonomy places the organism in Eukaryota, Viridiplantae, Streptophyta, Magnoliopsida, Sapindales, Anacardiaceae. The record is from RefSeq and is a predicted model, not a curated record.